GGGCGAAUGGUUUAGUGGUAUAAUACUCCCUUAGCAUAAUUCGUCCAUCAGAUGCCUGCAUCUGGGAGUGGUCCAGGGUUCGAUUCCCUGUUCGUCCA
Molecule: transfer RNA, 98 nt
Rfam family: tRNA
About the family: Transfer RNA (tRNA) molecules are approximately 80 nucleotides in length. Their secondary structure includes four short double-helical elements and three loops (D, anti-codon, and T loops).
Source: Rfam